UGGGGAAUCUUCCGCAAUGGACGAAAGUCUGACGGAGCAACGCCGCGUGUAUGAUGAAGGUCUUCGGAUUGUAAAGUACUGUCAUUGGGGAAGAACGGUUUUCUUGAAAAGAUUGAGAAGACAUGACGGUACCCAAGGAGGAAGCCCCGGCUAACUACGUGCCAGCAGCCGCGGUAAUACGUAGGGGGCAAGCGUUGUCCGGAAUUAUUGGGCGUAAAGGGCGCGUAGGCGGGCCUUUAAGUCCGGUGUGAAAGAUCAGGGCUCAACCCUGAGAGUGCAUCGGAAACUGGAGGCCUUGAGGACAGGGAGAGGGAAAGUGGAAUUCCACGUGUAGCGGUGAAAUGCGUAGAUAUGUGGAGGAACACCAGUGGCGAAGGCGACUUUCUGGACUGUAACUGACGCUGAGGCGCGAAAGCGUGGGGAGCAAACAGGAUUAGAUACCCUGGUAGUCCACGCCGUAAAUGAUGAGUGCUAGGUGUAGAGGGUAUCGACCCCUUCUGUGCCGCGUUAACACAAUAAGCACUCCGCCUGGGGAGUACGGCCGCAAGGUUGAAACUUAAAUGAAUUGAC
Molecule: ribosomal RNA, 570 nt
Filed under: uncultured bacterium
Lineage: Bacteria
Description: partial 16S ribosomal RNA
Rfam family: Bacterial small subunit ribosomal RNA
Source: RNAcentral